GAUCAUUUUUCUCAUUCAUUCAUCAUUUUUGUACUAAUUGAAUGUGCAUCAUGCACAGGGUUUGAACCACUGUAGUAAAAAGUUGAGUUUUGCCAUUUUGAUAAUUAAGUGUUCAUUAUGUUAAUGCUCACAGAGAAUGGAGAGGCAUAUUUUACAGCUCCCCAAUUGAAAUGACUCGUAUUGGAAGGCUUGUAUUAGUGUAAGAUGCAACCGAUACCCUACCUCCCGUCAGUAAACGACGACGCCCCUCUCGUGAUCAUAGGUGAUGGGUGUGGCUCUGAAGAAAUAUGAGAGCAGCUCAUUAGCUGAUUCUCCUUUGAACAGUGCUGGAACUUGACUUGCUGUCUCAUGUACAUAAUUUUCCUUGUGAUAUAAUCCAAUGAACAGAAUUAUUGUACAUGUAUUGUGUUGUGUACAAUGCUCAUAUUGUAUUGAAUCCAGGCUGGCUCUGAUGUAGAAACUGUACAUACUUGUAAAUAUUAACUGUAUGUAAGAUAAUUGUACAGAAUCAAUUUUAGUGCUGAUUUUUUUUUUCUCUCCCCCAUACAUCAUUUAAUAUAAGAUGCAUUUAAGUGAAGAGUUUUCCUCUUAUUUUUUGAAGUACUAGAAUUAUACAUUAUAAUUAAAUGAAAGUUUGGGUAUCCCAUAUUAGCAGUUUUCUGUCACCACAGAAGAUGGACUGAAUUUUAAUUCUAAAAUGAUGUGGGAGUGCCUCAGUGUGGUUGCAAAAAGAAAUUUUAAAAUGGGUUGUAGUGUUAAUCCAUAUGUUUUGUCGUGUGUGGAAUUGGUUAAGUGGUGAUAUGUUUCAGAAAAUCCUGAAUUUUCUUUCUUAUGCUGAAUUUUUUUUUUGUUUAAGUAGAUACAUGUUGCUUAUACAAUGUACUAGGCUUUGGCCUUAAAAAGUAAUUUAAUUUUUUAUCUAUAUAGUUUGCAAAAAAAACAAACAAAACAAAAACUUUGGAGUACCUGAAUGUGCCAACACAGUUCAACUGUAUCUUUUAAAUGUAAUAAAUGCCAAGUUUUCAUUCAGAGAAAAUAUAUUGGGAUUGGUUUGGAAAUAUGAGGUUUAAUGAUAUAAGAAUAACUUGAAAAAUUUAGGGCUAUUUCUGUUAAAGUUGUAGGUUUUUGGAUUGUCAAUUUACUGCCAUUUGCUUGUUUUUGUUGCAUAAUUUAAUUAUAUAUUUUAUAUAUAUACAAAUACCACUAUAUAUGAGCUGCUUGCAGCAACUAUGAUAUCUUUUUUUUUGGCUUGUGAAUUGUUAUAUAUAGGGCGCGUAAAAAGAAUUAUAUAUCUGUACUCAUUCAUUUUCUAGUCUACAAGAGUACUAUGAUUACAUUACUGACCAAUUGUUGAUGUUAUUAAUAUUAUUAUCAUGUAUAGAUUAUAUGAGAGUUUUUUUUUAAAUUGAGUGAAUAACAGAGGUGUUAUAAGCUUUUGUGUGCCAGUCUGCUGUGGACUGAGUUUCCCCCUUUCUUUCCCUGAGUAGGUGACUGCUUUAUGUGCUGUAUAUGUCCCCGUGGAGAUUUCAGACAUGUCUUCUUACUGUCAUCAUGUAGUUUAGCAGACUUUCGUCUUAAUUUUCCUUGGUGUCAAUUCAGCAUAUUUUUAUUUUUAUAUCCAUAACUGUGAAUAAACAUAGCUCACACAUUUGAA
Long non-coding RNA from Saccostrea echinata, 1654 nucleotides. RefSeq lists it as uncharacterized. The transcript is spliced from 2 exons. Lineage: Eukaryota; Metazoa; Mollusca; Bivalvia; Ostreida; Ostreidae. The record is from RefSeq and is a predicted model, not a curated record.